Molecule: long non-coding RNA, 1759 nt
Organism: Raphanus sativus (radish)
Lineage: Eukaryota; Viridiplantae; Streptophyta; Magnoliopsida; Brassicales; Brassicaceae
Exons: 5
Source: RefSeq, a predicted model, not a curated record
UUUUCUUUAUGUCACGGCCCUACCAACUAUGCUCUCCCUUCUCCAGCGCCGUAACCUAUCUUCUUCAUCUCUGUCCUUUCCACUGUCGACCCCUCCAUUCCUCUUCACUGUCGAUCCGUUUCAAUGUCUUAAUCUCACGAGUAACCGAUCCUCCCCUCUUUAUCUCGUACCUUUUGACUCCCAUCCCUUCCAUUACGCAUCUCUCUCAAUCCGUUUGACGGUUUUAACUUCUCGAUUUAUUGCUCUAAUCAAUGGAUUCGUUUAAGCUUCUUCUCUGUUUUCCUAUUUAUAGGACUCUUUUCCCAUCUGAUUCAUUUUACCUAGCUUUCUCCUCUUUCGUAGUCAAAAGAAUCUUUCAGAACUUUUCCGAUGGAACCCACCGGCAAAUCUUCAGCCUCUAGCCUUCGCAAGUCCACCAGAAAGACCGACACCGCCUCUGCAACUGGGAAACCAAGCGAGAAGCCAUUUGCUUCUCCCGCCGCUGUGAAUACCGCCGUCUCAUCCGCAAGUCCGGUGAACCCUAACAGCGUUGUCGAUCUCCCCUCCGCGACUUUGGACAAACCAAACGGGAAGUCGAUUGCUUCCUCCGCCGCUGUGGAGAACCCUAAAGAGAAGACCGCUGAUUCAGCUCCCAGUCCGAUGAUCCCUGCCGCUGCUGCCGCUCACCCUGCGAAUCGCGAUGAAGUUAUGUUGUUCAGGGAUGUCUCACUCGGACCACACGAGUGCCGGUUUGCUGUUUCGUUUGAUUCACUUCUGGGAAGCUCGCAAUCCAAACACCAAAACCCUCAUUGGACAAGAGAUACCUCUUAUAGACGAAGAGGGGACCGUUAUUCAAGGUUUUGUACCUUCUGGUCGGGUGGGAACAUUUGAUCUCAUUGCUGGUUCCCUCUGCAUAUUAGGAUAUCAAUUUUAGUGGUCUGACAAAUACAAUUGGAGUUUUUCUCGGAUUGCCUCUCUGACAAAUACAAUUGGAGAUGUUAGUAGAUACGUAAGCCAUGAAGACAAUUCGUCUAGAAAUUCCUUCCCUUGCCAGACUGACUUCAACUGCUGCUAGCUCCUAUAAAUUUGUGAGCCAUGAAAUAAGAAGUGCUUUAAGGUCAUUCUAUCCUUAAUCGAUUUAGGCAGUUAGCGUGCACUGUUUCCAGAAGGAACUCCCAUGGAGUUGCAGCACAUCAUUAAACUCAAGGUCUUAAGAAAGCUCAGCAGAGCAUACUUGAUGAUCUCAUCAAGCAUGGCCCAAGGUUUACACAGCCCUCUGUCUCAGGGGUAAUGCCACAAGUGGUUCCAACCCACCUGCACUGCGCUGGUAAUCACUAAUCCGGGUACAACAGCUAGGUUUAUAGCAAACAGCGAGGAUGUGUUAACCAGGCAGAAGCUCUUGGCAGAGGAGCUGAAACCACUGGCUUUAAUAAUUUAAUUGCUCUUACUGAAGCUGCCAAAUACCUCAAAGAUGGUCUCUCUCUCACUUUUAACAGGACAAACAAGCUUUCUUCAAGACUUUCUUCACGUGGCUUAAACCAGGUUCAUCAGCGACUGAUGUAGGAGCUUGAAAGCUCCAUCUCCUGAGUUUUCAGAGUACAUCAAACAGAGAAGAUAUGAUCUCCAUGAUGUUCAAGCAUAUGCGAAGGUUUUUUUUCUUUUGUCAAUGAUAUGUGUUUCUGUGUGUAUCAAAACCCUUUGUCAAGCUCUUAUCCAUGUAACAAAAAUAUUCAUUGUAUUUUGCUAAAGACGCCAGUUUUAAGUUCAAACUUUUAUUAUC